Octopus bimaculoides (California two-spot octopus) is the source of this 631-nucleotide long non-coding RNA. RefSeq lists it as uncharacterized. NCBI's taxonomy places the organism in Eukaryota, Metazoa, Mollusca, Cephalopoda, Octopoda, Octopodidae. The record is from RefSeq and is a predicted model, not a curated record.
CACACACACAUAAAAUUUUAUAUAUAAUAUAUAGAUACCGACAUAUGUAUUAGAUUAUGCUUUAAAUAUAUAGAGAGACAUAUUUCUUCUGGUAAAUGUCAUAUAUAUUGCAACAUUAAUCACAGUUGUUUUUGUUGUCAUUGGUCAGUGUUUAGCUGCAUGUCAAACCUGAUCAAAGAUCUGCUCAACUGUGUAUCUAUUCCUAGCAGGUCAAGCAACCCUGUUGAGACACCAUCUCUGACACGACAGAAUUUUUUUUUUUUUUUUUUUGGUUGGAUUGAGGAGGGAAAGAUCUAUGAUGAUGAAUCAUGUAAUGGAAUCAUAAAACAUGUGAACAUGCAAACUGAUGUUCCUACCUAUUCCUUCAUUGAUCUACUUGAAAUUACUGUAUGACAAGAGUAUUUCUUGCUAAAUGGAUUGAGAGAAAAUGAAUCACAGAAAAAUAAAGAAAAUAUAAAAAAAGCAAGUUUUGUAAUUUUCAAAUAGAUUUCAUAAAGUAAUUGGAAAAGCAAAUACAAGAGGAUGAGAUCUUUAUUUCAUAUAUGAAGCUAUGAAGAUAGAAGCUGAGAUAAAGAUGUAUAUUUAUGGCAAACAGUAAAGAAAAAUCCAUUAGUGGUUCGAGCCACUUAUA